Molecule: long non-coding RNA, 1027 nt
Organism: Anolis carolinensis (green anole)
Lineage: Eukaryota; Metazoa; Chordata; Lepidosauria; Squamata; Anolidae
Exons: 2
Source: RefSeq, a predicted model, not a curated record
AGUCAUGCAGUUUUAAAACUCCUCCGUUUGUUUACCUGACAAGUGCCAACACAGUUUCGGAGGACUCUGAUGGAGAGGGUGCCAUGACAACGAGCGGUUCCCUUAACAACACGAGUUCCCACAGCAUCUGGAUGUGGAAGAACAUGGGCAAGAAACAUCUGAAACCAAUUUACAAGCACAGUAUUUUUAACAAAAUUCUUGCCUGGUACAAGGAAAGGAAAGGAAGAGUGAAUACGUAAAAAGAAAACAUGCAACUGAGAAUGUGACCUUGAGUCAUACCAUCUCAUGAAUCUAACACAUGCAAGUUCAUUGAGCCUUCUUGAAGGGAAAAAAUGCAGGGACGGCAAAGUUGUGGGGAUAAAGUGUCAGGAGAACUGUAAGCAGAGGACACACAAUGACAAGCUCCAGCUUUAGCCUGGCCACAAAAGGCAGUGGCCAGGCCACAAUGAGAUACUGGCCACAGACAGAAUUACUUCAUUGUGUGACAUUCACUAUGAUGAAAUAUUAACUGGGAUGACUCAGUGAUUAUGAACUAGAAGCAAGGGAGCCGUCCUUGCAGCAGUCAUAUUUGUUCUCCUUACAGACUCUAUCCAGAACUUAUCAGUCUUUGCGUACAUGGAUAUUAAAACCAGGGCUCAGACGGAGUCGACUUCACAACAUUCCUCACUUCUGGUGACUUUAUGGAUUAUACCAGGGCCAAGUUCAUCCAAGACCGCUUACAGAAGACAACUGAAUUUAGAUACAUUGCGCCUCUUGUUUGAAUUCAUUCACUAUGCCAGUUCAACCUUGGACAGUAGCACCUGUACAUUAGAACACAGAUUCAAAAGAACAAACAUUAACCUUGCUUUCCAAUUAUUGCUAAACUAUGACACUAGUUCUUGUGGAAAUAGAAGUAUUUUCUAAAUAUCUACUCCACAAACAAAAGCAUCAUUAUGAACACAGAAGUAUGAAAAAAUAUAUCCAAACCUACUUUUGCAAAAUAUUCACCAUCUCUCAAGUAUCAUUAAAGGGGAUUUACAAGAAAUAA